CAGCCGUAAACAAUGUGCGUUAGGUGUGUCGGUAACCACGCGUUACUGAUGCGCCGAAGAGAAAUCGUGAAACGCACCACCUGGGAAGUACGGUCGCAAGGCUGAAACUUAAAGGAAUUGGCGGAGGAGCACCACAACAGGUGGAGCCUGCGGUUUAAUUGGAUUCAACGCCGGACAUCUCACCGGAUAAGACAGCUGGAUGAUUGUCAAUCUGAAGGUUUUACAUGACUAGCUGAGAGGUGGUGCAUGGCGGUCAGUGACU
RNAcentral lists this ribosomal RNA (262 nucleotides) under uncultured archaeon. Its description in RNAcentral is "partial 16S ribosomal RNA". It matches the Rfam family "Archaeal small subunit ribosomal RNA", at positions 748 to 1009 of the family's 1478-position model. The record is from RNAcentral.